Molecule: ribosomal RNA, 423 nt
Filed under: uncultured bacterium
Lineage: Bacteria
Description: partial 16S ribosomal RNA
Rfam family: Bacterial small subunit ribosomal RNA
Source: RNAcentral
AAUAUUGCACAAUGGGCGCAAGCCUGAUGCAGCAACGCCGCGUGAGGGAUGACGGCCUUCGGGUUGUAAAGCACUUUUUGCAGGGAAGAAAAGGCGCCGGAUAAUACCUGGCGCCGCUGACGGUACCUGCAGACUAAGCACCGGCUACCUACGUGCCAGCAUCCGCGGUAAUACGUAGGGUGCAAGCGUUAAUCGGAAUUACUGGGCGUAAAGCGUGAGCAGGCGGUUCGGAAAGAAAGAUGUGAAAUCCCAGGGAUUAACCUUGGAACUGCAUUUUUAACUGCCGGGCUAGAGUAUGUCAGAGGGGGGUAGAAUUCCACGUGUAGCAGUGAAAUGCGUAGAGAUGUGGAGGAAUACCGAUGGCGAAGGCAGCCCCCUGGGAUAAUACUGACGCUCAUGCACGAAAGCGUGGGGAGCAAACAG